Molecule: long non-coding RNA, 1439 nt
Filed under: Monodelphis domestica (gray short-tailed opossum)
Lineage: Eukaryota; Metazoa; Chordata; Mammalia; Didelphimorphia; Didelphidae
Description: lncRNA (ENSMODG00000042860.1)
Source: RNAcentral
AUGGUCGCCGCCAGCCAGCCUGGGGUCCGGCUCGCGAGCCCCCCGCCCCGCCCCUGUGCCCCGCCUCCCGCCAGGUGCCGCGAUCGGAGCCGGAGGCCGGGCCGAGGACAGCCGCAGAGGCGGCCCAGCGGUGCGGGUACCUACCUUACCUACGGGGGUGACGAAGGCAGAGGCCUCGCCCGCUCCUCCGAACCCUGCUCCUCCAGGCUCGGGCGCAGGAUUGAGGAGCGGAGGCGAGGCGACGGCGGCUGCUGCUCAGGAGCCGGGAGCCGCGGACUCACUCGCUUACAUCGCCGAGCGCACGCACGCACACUCACUCACACACUCACAAACACACGCGCGCGCGCGAGUCCACGGGGAGUCCGGCCCCCACCACGACUUCCCCGGAGUCACCGCCUGGGCCCCCUCCCCUUGGAGGAGGGGCCAACGGUGGAGAGGAGCCGCCCCGACCCGCCCCGGCAGCCCGCCGGCGUGGGAAGGGCUUUCCCAUUGGCCCAGGCGACCGUUUGGUUCUCCGCCUCGCGUUCAUUGGCCAGUGGGAGGAAGCCGUUCGCUACCAUAAUUGGUCCUGGUGGCGUCGGUGAUCUACGCCCACCGUCCGUCAAUCAAGCGACGCUCCGCCCCUGCUCCUCUCAGCUCUGUUCCCUAUCCUGGCACUCAGUUGCGCACACGCCCCCUGCCUCCUUCCUUGGCUGGUCGCAGGUGGCGGGUGCUCCAGCAUCCAAGAGAAGCUGGCUUGGGGAAAGAAUCUAUUACCUGGAGACUCCUGAUACGAACUCAUUAUACCUUGGAUCAGUUUACACCUGCUCAAUUCCUCACCUCCCUGCGAGCCUUGGUGACCCUGGAAAUAACCUCCAUGCCAACCUUUCCCUAGAGCCCAACAUCCCUGGAGAGGGGAGAAGAGAUGAUCGCGUAGUGGUAUCAACAAUGGAUGAAAGCGCACAAGUUCUGGCGGAGGAGAAAGAAGAUCACAUCAUUCCCCCCCUCCCCCCUUCCCCUCUACCAACCUUGGUUGCUCAAUAAAAGAUGGCAAGCCUUAGCCCUUUGAUGCCUCUUCCACUUUGUUUCUUUUCCUUAGUAGACCAAAUAGCAAUCAUGAGGAAAGGGGACACCUCAGGAGCUCCUGUGUUCUUUCUAAACCAGUUGCACUGCUAAAGGUGUUCCCUGCCCCUACCAUAACAUUUUUCUAGGGAGAGGAUAACCAUAACACCCCUCAAGAAGACAAACCCAAACCCUGCUAGAAGACAAACAAACUGAGGUGAUAAGAUUGAGCAGGUAAGAGGUAGAGUAAUGAUAAGUCCCACUAAGUGUCUCAUGAUUUAAAGGUUUACAUUAUCAGCCUCCUGGGGGGAGAGUAUAAUGGGAGUUUGGGGAUACUGUUAGAAGUCUUUGUCAAGGUGCACCUGUGAGGCUUUUGGGUUUUAGGCAUUUCUUUUGUG